GACGAACGCUGGCGGCGUGCUUAACACAUGCAAGUCGAACGGAAAGGCCCUGCUUUUGUGGGGUGCUCGAGUGGCGAACGGGUGAGUAACACGUGAGUAACCUGCCCUUGACUUUGGGAUAACUUCAGGAAACUGGGGCUCAUACCGGAUAGUAGCUCCUGCUGCAUGGUGGGGGUUGGAAAGUUUCGGCGGUUGGGGAUGGACUCGCGGCUUAUCAGCUUGUUGGUGGGGUAGUGGCUUACCAAGGCUUUGACGGGUAGCCGGCCUGAGAGGGUGACCGGCAACAUUGGGACUGAGAUACGGAACAGAAUGCUACGGGAGGCAGCAGUGGGGAAUAUUGCACAAUGGGCGGAAGCCUGAUGCAGCAACGCCGCGUGCGGGAUGACGGCCUUCGGGUUGUAAACCGCUUUCGCCUGUGACGAAGCGUGAGUGACGGUAAUGGGUAAAGAAGCAACGGCUAACUACGUG
This 468-nucleotide ribosomal RNA is filed under the name uncultured bacterium. RNAcentral's name for it is "partial 16S ribosomal RNA". It matches the Rfam family "Bacterial small subunit ribosomal RNA", at positions 28 to 507 of the family's 1533-position model. The record is from RNAcentral.